Molecule: long non-coding RNA, 1757 nt
Filed under: Macaca fascicularis (crab-eating macaque)
Lineage: Eukaryota; Metazoa; Chordata; Mammalia; Primates; Cercopithecidae
Description: lncRNA (ENSMFAG00000053904.1)
Source: RNAcentral
UUUUUUGUUUUUUUUUUUUUGGUAGAGACGGGGUUUCACCAUGCUAGCCAGGCUGGUCUCAAACUCCUGACUUCAGGUGAUCUGCCCACCUUGGCCUCCCAAAGUAUUGGGAUUACAGGCAUGAGUCACUGUGCCCAGCCCAAAUUUCCUUUUUAAUUCUAAAAUCUGUUAUUCACAAUAAAGACCUAACAUGAAUAUGCAUGGUACCAAAUAACACUGCAAACAUCGUUAUGAAGCAAAAGCUGCAGGGGAUGCAGGAAGACAAAGAUAGAAAUGCAUCAAUAAUGGGAGAUAAUAACAAGCCACUCUCACUGUAAGACAAAAUAAGUGGACCUUUUAUUACCAAUACAUUCUCAUUACUCGUUAAUGGUCUGAUCAAAUUUUUCAUUUCUUUAGUCAUAUGGAAGAAAGAGCAAAACUGAAGGAGAUACAAUUGUUAGGCUGUUAUAGUGAUCCAGAAGAGAGAUAAGGAGGCAGUCUGAAGAGAGGGCAUACCAAAGAGGAUAGGGAAGAUGGCAGAGAUGUUAAGAAAGUAUGUGGCUCAUAUAGAUUCUAUGGUUUUAGGAAUUCAUCCAUUUCUUCUAGGUUAUCCAGUUUGUUAGCAUAUAAUUGUUCAUGGCAAUCUCUUAUGAUCCUUGGUAUAUCUGUAGUAUCAUUUGUAACAUCUCUACUUUAUUUUCUAAUUUUAUUUUAGCUUUUCCUCAUUUCUUAGUCUAGAUCAAGGUCUGUUAAUUUUAUCUUAAAAACCGUUAGUUUUGUUGUUCUUUUCUGUUGUUUUUCGUUUGUGUUUCAUUUAUUUCUGCUCUGAUCUAUAUUGUUUCCUUCCUCCUACUAACUUUGGCCUUAAUUUAUUCUUCUUUUUCUAGUUCCCUAAGAUGUAAAGUUAGAUUGUUCACAUUCUUUCUUUUUCAAUAUAGGUGUUUAUUGCUAUUAAUUUCCUCUUGGGACUGCUUUGGUUGCUACCCAUAAGUUUUGGCAUGUGGUGUUUCCAUUUUCAUUUGUCUCAAGACAAUUUUUAAUUUCCCUUUUACUUUCUUCUUGACUCACUGGUUGUAAGGAGCAUUUGGUUUAAUUCUACAUAUUGUGAAUUUUCUGACAUUUAUCCUAUUAUUAACUCCUAAUUUCAUACCACUGUGGUUGAAAAAGAUACUGGAUAUGACUUUAAUCUGCUUACAUUUGUUAAGUUUUGUUUUGUGGCUUAAUGUAUGAUCUAUUCUGGAGAAAGUUCUGUGUGUGCUUGAAAAGAAUGUGUAUUCUGUUGUUGUUGGAUGAAAUGUUCUGAAUAUAUAUCUAUUAGAUCCAUUUGUCUAAAGUGUGGCUAAAUUCCAACAUUUCCAUAUUGAUUUUCUGUCUGCAUGAUCAUGUACAUUGUUGAAAGUGGGUAUUGAAGUCCCCUACCGUUAUUGUAUUGCAGUUUAUGUCUUCAGAUCUUUAUAUCUUUGCUUUAUAUAUUUAGGUGCUCUGAUGUUGAGUGUAUAUAUAACUGCUAUAUCCUCUUGAAUUGAUCCCUUUAUCAUUAUACAAUGACCUUUGUUUCCUUGUAUACUUUACUUAAAAUCUGUUUUACCUAAGUAUAGCUAUCCCAGUUCUUUUGGUUUCCAUUUGCAUGGAAUACAUUUUCCAUUCCUUUACCUUCGAACUGUGUCUUUUUUUUUGUUUGAGAUGGAGUCUCAUUCUGUCACCAGGCUGGAGUGUACUGGUGCAAUCUCGCCUGGGAGAUAGCGAGACUUCGUCUCCAAAAAAAAAAAAAAAAAAAA